GUUUAUUUCAUUUUUAUUACCAAAAAAUUAUUAAAAAUUCAACUUAGAUCGCUUAGUACUAUCGCUAAUCUACCUACUAAACUAAUCUAUCUUGAAUCUUCUACCCUUAUAACUAAAAACUUAUUCAAUAUGGAUGUUGAAAUACUGGCAGUGGAAAAAUACAUUUCUUGUUUAUAAUAUUGUACAGAAUCAUAAUUACUAUUCAGCUAUUCUGCCGUCUUUUGUAAAACGCGGCUAACCAUAUAAAGUAGUUUGUGACUUAACCGCAAAAAACAUGGGAAUCAUCAGUUUUCAAAAAUCCCUUCUGAAAACUCAAAAAGUAUUUUUUUGGAGUUAGCCGCUUUUUAGAAAAAGGACGACAGUAUUGUGUAAACGUGACCAAUAAAUGUUAUACAUGGGAUAUUAUUUUAUUGCAAAAAUGUAUUAGGUAUGUUCUUAGUAAUUAGAUUUGGCUGUAUUAAUAACAUAUGUGAUAAAU
Long non-coding RNA from Maniola jurtina (meadow brown), 478 nucleotides. RefSeq lists it as uncharacterized. NCBI's taxonomy places the organism in Eukaryota, Metazoa, Arthropoda, Insecta, Lepidoptera, Nymphalidae. The record is from RefSeq and is a predicted model, not a curated record. The transcript has 3 exons.